This 366-nucleotide transfer RNA is filed under the name uncultured Microcystis sp. RNAcentral's name for it is "partial miscellaneous RNA". The stretch from base 134 to 207 matches the Rfam family "tRNA". The record is from RNAcentral. Lineage: Bacteria; Bacillati; Cyanobacteriota; Cyanophyceae; Chroococcales; Microcystaceae.
AAGGGAGACCUAAUUCAGGUAGGAGACGAAAAAAAGUAGUCCCUACCAAGAAUCAAUCCCAAAAGGUCGGAGCGAGGCAAAAUUGGCUUUCAAACUAGGUUCUGGGUUCACAUAAGACCUGAAUCAGGAACAAGGGCUAUUAGCUCAGGUGGUUAGAGCGCACCCCUGAUAAGGGUGAGGUCUCUGGUUCGAGUCCAGGAUGGCCCACCUGCACAGGUGGCAAAAACAAAGAAAAGAAGCUCCGAAUCAGCACCUUAUCUUACUCAUAUAGUAAGAGAGAAUGCUGGCUCUGAGUUCAGAGUCCAGAGGAACCUUGAAAACUGCAUAGAGCUAGGUGAAAAAGCCAAAAAAGAAGACCGCAUGCAA